Molecule: ribosomal RNA, 497 nt
Filed under: uncultured bacterium
Lineage: Bacteria
Description: partial 16S ribosomal RNA
Rfam family: Bacterial small subunit ribosomal RNA
Source: RNAcentral
GAUGAACGCUGGCGGCGUGCCUAAUACAUGCAAGUCGAGCGGACGGACGAGAAGCGUGCUGUUCUGAUGUGAGCGGCGGACGGGUGAGUCACACGUGGAUAACCUACCUAUAAGAGUGGGCUAACUUAGGGAAACCGGAGCUAAUAACGGAUAAUAUUUUGAACCGCAUGGUUCAAGAGUGAAAGACGGUCUUGCUGUGACUUAUAGAUGGAUCCGCGCUGUAUUAGCUAGUUGGUAAGGUAACGGCUUACCAAGGCGACGAUGCAUUGCCGAGCUGAGAGGGUGUACGGGCCCACUGGAAGUGAGACGCGGCCCAGACUCCGACGGGAGGCAGAAGUAGGGAAGCGUGCGCGAUGGGCGGAAGCCUGACGGAGGGACGCCGCGUGGGUGAUGAAGGUCUUCGGGCCGGAAGACUCUGUUAUUAGGGAAGAACAUAUGUGUAAGUAACUGAGCUCAGCGUGACGGUACCUAGUCAGAAAGCCACGGCUAACUACGUG